UCUGGUGGCUUAGAUGGUAAAGAAUCUGUCUGCAGUGCAGGAGACCUGGGUUCAAUUCCUUGGUCAGAA
RNAcentral lists this transfer RNA (69 nucleotides) under Ovis aries (sheep). It matches the Rfam family "tRNA". Rfam says of the family: Transfer RNA (tRNA) molecules are approximately 80 nucleotides in length. Their secondary structure includes four short double-helical elements and three loops (D, anti-codon, and T loops). The record is from Rfam by way of RNAcentral. Lineage: Eukaryota; Metazoa; Chordata; Mammalia; Artiodactyla; Bovidae.